This is a small nucleolar RNA of Malania oleifera, 105 nucleotides long. The record is from RefSeq and is a predicted model, not a curated record. Lineage: Eukaryota; Viridiplantae; Streptophyta; Magnoliopsida; Santalales; Ximeniaceae.
ACCUGAUGAUGAGGGCAUUUACGGAGUAUGUCCCUAAAGCGUUCCCAAGUCUCAAAUAAAGUUCCCCAUCCAUCUAUGAGAAGCUCGUGAUAGCUCUCCGAAGCU